GGGCCUGUAGCUCAGCUGGUCAGAGCACACGCUUGAUAAGCGUGGGGUCGAAGGUUCAAAUCCUUCCGGGCCCACCA
Molecule: transfer RNA, 77 nt
Filed under: Magnetospirillum sp.
Lineage: Bacteria; Pseudomonadati; Pseudomonadota; Alphaproteobacteria; Rhodospirillales; Rhodospirillaceae
Also listed under: 2 other names
Description: tRNA-Ile
Rfam family: tRNA
About the family: Transfer RNA (tRNA) molecules are approximately 80 nucleotides in length. Their secondary structure includes four short double-helical elements and three loops (D, anti-codon, and T loops). Further hydrogen bonds mediate the characteristic L-shaped molecular structure. tRNAs have two regions of fundamental functional importance: the anti-codon, which is responsible for specific mRNA codon recognition, and the 3' end, to which the tRNAs corresponding amino acid is attached (by aminoacyl-tRNA synthetases). tRNAs cope with the degeneracy of the genetic code in two manners: having more than one tRNA (with a specific anti-codon) for a particular amino acid; and 'wobble' base-pairing, i.e. permitting non-standard base-pairing at the 3rd anti-codon position.
Source: RNAcentral